RNAcentral lists this long non-coding RNA (4675 nucleotides) under Ananas comosus (pineapple). Its description in RNAcentral is "long non-coding RNA (ACOM_LNC008908)". Lineage: Eukaryota; Viridiplantae; Streptophyta; Magnoliopsida; Poales; Bromeliaceae. The record is from RNAcentral.
CGUACUGUCACGGGGUUAGCUUUUCCGCCUCAAAAAUCCCCGCGCGGCGCUCAAGUGUCGCACACCCGAGCCAGCCUUCUCGAGUCCCUUACACGGACAAGUCUCCCCGACUUAACAGCGGAAUACCAAUCCAAGCAUUUUGCCAAGCUUGCUCCUCCUCGAGACUUAUAGCCCGACCCUCGCCUGUAAUCGAACCCCUCGUCGGACUCCUCGAGUUCCCAACGAGCAACCCCAAUAUCGAGGUUGGCCACCAAGCUAGGUGCAUCCUGUUUUGUCAACCAAACCCUCCUCGAGAGUGCUCUGUAGCUGAAUGCCUUGUUGCCUUCCUCGCCAGCCCAAGGACAUUACAAGUUCUCCCCCAACUUGUACAAUAUGAGUAUAGCCGAGCGUCUCGCCUCCCACGCGUCUCGCUCCCGCGACUCAACCCGCACGCCUCUAGCGUCGAGGUCCGGGCUUCGCGACAUCGCAUGCCACGAAGGGCACUCAUAACCAUAAGUUCCACCAUCGUGUCUCCCGCGCCUGACAACACCCAUGGCCAUACCGCCUACGCGGCCUGCUCGCUCGGUCCAACGGCUUACCUCCGAAAAGCCACCCAAGUGUGCGCCACAAGCUUGCUUGCCCCAACAUCAGCACCUCAGCGUGACACCACGCACGUCCGUGCUUCGCACCUCCGUGCUUCGCAUUCGACCCGUGCGGCCCUCGUGUCCCAUCGCUCCUGAAUAGGGAACCAACAAGUCCACACCGUGCUUCUCGACCGUCUCAUCGACCCUCGCUUUGCCACGGCGCUCCGCGCCCUUGACUCCCAUAGGUUCGCCUCAUAAGGCCCCAUACAAACGAACCGGCCUCGCUCCGCAUCGCUAGCCACUGGCCCCUCCUUGGCUCGACCACGCCUGGCCGCUUACCCCAUUGGUCCAGUCUCUCAAGGUUCACUAUACGGAUACCGAUACCGCUUGCCUCCUUGGGUUCCGCCCCUCGAGUCUCGUAGGCCACCCGCCUUACGAAUUCUCCCUCGGCAUGCCUCCCUUUAGCGUCCCUAUCGAGUCUCGCCUCCUUGGCCUUCGUGGGCGCCGCGCCCCACGAAUCCCCGCUCGGCACCCUUGCCUUCGCGAGCCUUGUCCUUUACGGAGGACCAUCCGUCGCUAGACUAUCCCUCAUCCGCUCGUACGCUCCACUACAGAGAUCCAAGCCGGCAUAAGGUAGCGCAAGCGAUCCUAGGGAGGAAGCCUCCCGGUAUUCCCCGCUUCCGUAAUGUCGUCGACCUCUCGCGUCUCCGACAUUACCCUAGGCCCGUGUCCCUUCAACCGUCCAUUAACCGGCUACACGGAACGCUAGGCUUGGCUACUCCGCUAGCCAAGGGACGACCCAUAUCCUAUGGGUCGACGGGGGAGUCGGGGCCACUUACGAAGUGUCCACCCCUCCUCUAAUACCCUUACGAGGCAUCCACUCCUUUGGCACCCCGGGGGUACAAAGGUGCUCACCGAGGGGUACGUUUUCAAGCCCCGCAUGCGGCACCUAUUUCCAAGUCAUGGCAUGGGCCAUUGCUAGGGAAUUGCCUCCGUUGACUUGACAGCGACUCCUACCUGACGGAACGCCUCAACUCCGCAACUCCAUAACUUCGUCAACCCAAAUGCCUACCAAGUAUGGCCCACAAAGGUGUCACGGUCGAGACCCAACGAUCGACCCGUGACAGUACGGCACGAGCGGCAUUUUGAACCUUGAUAAUAAUAUUAUAAUACUAAUCCAAGUGUCGAAACGCAAAAAAUCGCGCCUGCGGUGUUUCGAUCGGCUCGUCAAAUGGCACCAAAUCCCUUUCCUCUUCUUCUUCUUCUCUUUUUCCCCUUUCUCUUCUUUCCUUUUCUCUCUAUACGUACAGGUUGAAGGUGGAGGGAAGCUUCAAGAGGCUUCCCUGGCAACUUAGUGGAAUUCCACUACGGUAACAAUAUGCCAAUAAGUCCAUAAGCCAUCAAUAUUCUCAAUUUGCUCUAAUUUCAAUUUGAUACUUUUAAUUGCAGCCCUUCUGAAUGUCCGUUUGCGGUACAACUCUUGUGGGUACUCAUGCCAUACUCGUGCCCUCUCCGCAAACAACUUUUGUCACCCCAAUGCCUCCACAAUCGCACAACGUCGAGCUCUCCCCAUGGUCUCCCCAAGCUUUCAAGCCUUUCGUCGGGACUAGCCGGCCUCGACUACUUCCUGCUCUACUGACUUCCCCACGGACUCUUGUCAUGCCUCCUGACUGCUUUGCAUUUCGACUACUUGUUGAUGCACGGCACCUUUAGCCUUUAUCCCACAAGCCUGCUCAAGCCCUACUUCGUUAGGCUCUCGCAGAACUCCACUUCGAUUCGCAAUCAAAGUGUUCGGCCAAGUUCGAGCCAAUCGGACACCUUGUCUCUUUUCGCUCGCAACUUGCCAUAUCCCAACUCUAGGGACACCACCCUCAUGAUUGAACGCUGAACGGAACUCAGUUCACUCUCUGCUUAGUCUGAACCGCAAGUCUGGUUGCCACGGCAAUGCCGCUACCCUGCGCGCACCGCCCUUACAGAACUUCGAUACCUCGACCCUUCCCGCAGCUGCGAACUGUCCAAACUCCAGCCAGCACCAUGAUCCUGGGUGAAUCCACACACCACUCAACCCGACUAAGGAUGUCUCAUCCGUCCAACUCGUGGGCACAUUGUAAAGAGCAACCGAUCUCCACACCGGCCUUCUCGCACCAAGAGAAGUACUAAGCUCUCUCGCAAUCCUAGGUCCCCUUCACAACCUAGUCCAACGCCUAGCUGUUACUACCAUGGAUUCGUCGGCCUAGACUUCCAACUUGAGCUCCACGAAGCAAACUCUUUUACCACAUGUGUUGUAUCCCACUUCCUGUCAUAGACGAGCUCCUUCACCGAGUCUUUGCGCAUGGGAGCACUUAAUGAACAAACGUGCUCCCCCACUCUGAGUCGCUCCACCACCAAGCGCACUCAGAUCUCCCCGGCAUUCUCAAUGCCCCACAUUCCGCUCUGCUAGCUCCGGCUCUGCCACAACCUUCACUAUUCCCUCAAGCGGAACCCAUGUCAUCCAUCCAAUGGAUACAUGUAUGCUACCUCGAGUCACCAACGCUGUCACCGUUCUGCUCGAAGCUAGCCUUACCACCUCACUCCGCGAGUUAAGGUUUCAACCUCAAUCCAUUCUCUCGCACAAGGAUGCCUUCUCAUUCCAUAUCAUGGGCACACUCCAAAGAGUCAUCGAUCUCCCCAUCGAUCUUCCUUUUACCAAGAGAGAAGUACUGGUUCAUCGAGUAGCCCUUUGGUAAUCCCGCAACUUUGGUCGAAGCUGCUCCCAACGAAGACUACUGCCCGUCAGACUUCAAACUCAGCUUUCACGAAGUAAACUCUUUCGCCCAGUGUUUCACCGCCCAAUCCAUAUCCUUUCGAGAAGCACCAUCGUCGAGGAUUCACAUUUGGGAAUACAUCUCCACCUUAUGUACUCCCCCACCCUGAGUCGUAAGCACCUCUGUACAACUCAGUAUCCUUGGGCAUUCGCAAUACCCAACUCCGCGGCAACCCAACCACGGACCGCAAACUGAUUCUUCCUAAUCAUUGCCCCAUCGUCUGCCACACGACUAAGGCCUUAACCAUUUCUCCAUCCUGAGAAUGACUUGGAAAUCCUCACAGGGUACCGACAUGAACUUGGCUUUCGUCCCACCACGAGUCCACACCAACAAGCACCUCCCUCGCAAGACCCGCAAUCGGCUGGGCCUCCGAGCUCCUCGCUGUUAUCUGACUCUCAUCCAUGCGUGGUGCAAGUCCGAACCGCCCGGCUUCACUCACCGCAAAGAAUUCGUGGGUAGUACCAAUAUCCAUCGCAACUUAACUCCGCAUCUCUCACAAGCGAAGUAUUGUCCCAAUGCAUUGUCGGCUCCAAGUCCUUUCGUCAGAGUGACUCUGCUCACUCCAACUUCGCCGCCAAGGUCGCACCUUUCGGCCAAACUUCCAUCCCAAAUGAGCUCAACCUGGCUCUGAUACCACUUGUCACGGGGUUAGCUUUUCCGCCUCAAAAAUCCCCGCGCGGCGCUCAAGUGUCGCACACCCGAGCCAGCCUUCUCGAGUCCCUUACACGGACAAGUCUCCCCGACUUAACAGCGGAAUACCAAUCCAAGCAUUUUGCCAAGCUUGCUCCUCCUCGAGACUUAUAGCCCGACCCUCGCCUGUAAUCGAACCCCUCGUCGGACUCCUCGAGUUCCCAACGAGCAACCCCAAUAUCGAGGUUGGCCACCAAGCUAGGUGCAUCCUGUUUUGUCAACCAAACCCUCCUCGAGAGUGCUCUGUAGCCGAAUGCCUUGUUGCCUUCCUCGCCAGCCCAAGGACAUUACAAGUUCUCCCCCAACUUGUACAAUAUGAGUAUAGCCGAGCGUCUCGCCUCCCACGCGUCUCGCUCCCGCGACUCAACCCGCACGCCUCUAGCGUCGAGGUCCGGGCUUCGCGACAUCGCAUGCCACGAAGGGCACUCAUAACCAUAAGUUCCACCAUCGUGUCUCCCGCGCCUGACAACGCCCAUGGCCAUACCGCCUACGCGGCCUGCUCGCUCGGUCCAACGGCUUACCUCCGAAAAGCCACCCAAGUGUGCGCCACAAGCUUGCUUGCCCCAACAUCAGCACCUCAGCGUGACACCACGCACGUCCGUGCUUCGCACCUCCGUG